RNAcentral lists this ribosomal RNA (509 nucleotides) under uncultured bacterium. RNAcentral's name for it is "bacterial SSU rRNA". It matches the Rfam family "Bacterial small subunit ribosomal RNA", at positions 28 to 504 of the family's 1533-position model. The record is from RNAcentral.
GACGAACGCUGGCGGCGUGCCUAAUACAUGCAAGUCGAGCGAGCGGAACCAACAGAUUUACUUCGGUAAUGACGUUGGGAAAGCGAGCGGCGGAUGGGUGAGUAACACGUGGGGAACCUGCCCCUAAGUCUGGGAUACCAUUUGGAAACAGGUGCUAAUACCGGAUAAUAAAGCAGAUCGCGUGAUCAGCUUUUGAAAGGCGGCGUAAGCUGUCGCUAAGGGAUGGCCCCGCGGUGCAUUAGCUAGUUGGUAAGGUAACGGCUUACCAAGGCGACGAUGCAUAGCCGAGUUGAGAGACUGAUCGGCCACAUUGGGACUGAGACACGGCCCAAACUCCUACGGGAGGCAGCAGUAGGGAAUCUUCCACAAUGGACGCAAGUCUGAUGGAGCAACGCCGCGUGAGUGAAGAAGGUUUUCGGAUCGUAAAGCUCUGUUGUUGGUGAAGAAGGAUAGAGGUAGUAACUGGCCUUUAUUUGACGGUAAUCAACCAGAAAGUCACGGCUAACUAC